Molecule: long non-coding RNA, 378 nt
Organism: Vigna radiata var. radiata (mung bean)
Lineage: Eukaryota; Viridiplantae; Streptophyta; Magnoliopsida; Fabales; Fabaceae
Exons: 2
Source: RefSeq, a predicted model, not a curated record
UAUAUUCUCACGUUUUUCAUCUAAGAUGGCUUAUUAUGAGAAGGUUUUGAUGAAGUUGAUUUUUCUAUUUGUGAUUCUCUUAUCAAUGAAUAUGUCCACAGCAAGGGUACCCCUUUGGAUCUCAGAACCUCACAAACCAAAUGGACGCUUCCUUGGAGGUGCUGAUCCCUGGGGCCACAACUUUAACUUUCCUCGUCGUCCUCCAACUCCAUGAAAAAAAAAAAAAUAUUAUAUAAUAUUGUAUUGUUUUGGUUUUCAUCGUUAACAUAAAUUAUGUUUAUGUUUUUCUCUUAUUUAUAUUAAUAAUCAUAUUGUACAAUAUGGAAGAAAGAUGUAGUAGAAUUAUGGUUGUAAUGGAUUAGAUCUACUCCGCUGUUA